AUAGUAAUGUUUCAGGGAAGAUAACAUGAUCAUGAAGGUGGUUUUCCCAGGGCGAGGCUUAUCCAUCACUCCGGAUGUGCUGACCCCUGCAGUUUCCCCAAAUGUGGGAAACUCGACUGCAUAAUCUGUGGUAGUGGGGGACUGCAUUCACACUCUCCCCUG
This 162-nucleotide small nuclear RNA is filed under the name Carlito syrichta (Philippine tarsier). RNAcentral's name for it is "U1 spliceosomal RNA (ENSTSYG00000036291.1)". It matches the Rfam family "U1 spliceosomal RNA". From Rfam's summary of the family: U1 is a small nuclear RNA (snRNA) component of the spliceosome (involved in pre-mRNA splicing). Lineage: Eukaryota; Metazoa; Chordata; Mammalia; Primates; Tarsiidae. The record is from Rfam by way of RNAcentral.